UUUCGGGUGUCGCUGAUGGAUGGACCCGCGGUGCAUUAGCUAGUUGGUGAGGUAACGGCUCACCAAGGCGACGAUGCAUAGCCGACCUGAGAGGGUGAUCGGCCACAUUGGGACUGAGACACGGCCCAAACUCCUACGGGAGGCAGCAGUAGGGAAUCUUCGGCAAUGGACGAAAGUCUGACCGAGCAACGCCGCGUGAGUGAAGAAGGUUUUCGGAUCGUAAAACUCUGUUGUUAGAGAAGAACAAGGAUGAGAGUAACUGUUCAUCCCUUGACGGUAUCUAACCAGAAAGCCACGGCUAACUACGUGCCAGCAGCCGCGGUAAUACGUAGGUGGCAAGCGUUGUCCGGAUUUAUUGGGCGUAAAGCGAGCGCAGGCGGUUUCUUAAGUCUGAUGUGAAAGCCCCCGGCUCAACCGGGGAGGGUCAUUGGAAACUGGGAGACUUGAGUGCAGAAGAGGAGAGUGGAAUUCCAUGUGUAGCGGUGAAAUGCGUAGAUAUAUGGAGGAACACCAGUGGCGAAGGCGGCUCUCUGGUCUGUAACUGACGCUGAGGCUCGAAAGCGUGGGGAGCAAACAGGAUUAGAUACCCUGGUAGUCCACGCCGUAAACGAUGAGUGCUAAGUGUUGGAGGGUUUCCGCCCUUCAGUGCUGCAGCUAACGCAUUAAGCACUCCGCCUGGGGAGUACGACCGCAAGGUUGAAACUCAAAGGAAUUGACGGGGGCCCGCACAAGCGGUGGAGCAUGUGGUUUAAUUCGAAGCAACGCGAAGAACCUUACCAGGUCUUGACAUCCUUUGACCACUCUAGAGAUAGAGCUUCCCCUUCGGGGGCAAAGUGACAGGUGGUGCAUGGUUGUCGUCAGCUCGUGUCGUGAGAUGUUGGGUUAAGUCCCGCAACGAGCGCAACCCUUAUUGUUAGUUGCCAUCAUUUAGUUGGGCACUCUAGCAAGACUGCCGGUGACAAACCGGAGGAAGGUGGGGAUGACGUCAAAUCAUCAUGCCCCUUAUGACCUGGGCUACACACGUGCUACAAUGGGAAGUACAACGAGUCGCAAAGUCGCGAGGCUAAGCUAAUCUCUUAAAGCUUCUCUCAGUUCGGAUUGUAGGCUGCAACUCGCCUACAUGAAGCCGGAAUCGCUAGUAAUCGCGGAUCAGCACGCCGCGGUGAAUACGUUCCCGGGCCUUGUACACACCGCCCGUCACACCACGAGAGUUUGUAACACCCGAAGUCGGUGAGGUAACCUUUUGGAGCCAGCCGCCUAAGGUGGGAUAGAUGAUUGGGGUGAAGUCGUAACAAGGUAGCCGUAUCGGAAGGUGCGGCUGGAUCACCU
Molecule: ribosomal RNA, 1329 nt
Filed under: Enterococcus hirae
Lineage: Bacteria; Bacillati; Bacillota; Bacilli; Lactobacillales; Enterococcaceae
Description: bacterial SSU rRNA
Rfam family: Bacterial small subunit ribosomal RNA
Source: RNAcentral